This is a long non-coding RNA of Eucalyptus grandis, 641 nucleotides long. RefSeq lists it as uncharacterized. The transcript is spliced from 2 exons. Lineage: Eukaryota; Viridiplantae; Streptophyta; Magnoliopsida; Myrtales; Myrtaceae. The record is from RefSeq and is a predicted model, not a curated record.
CGACCGACCGACCAAUCGCGACCGCCUACCCCGUGCGCACGCUUUUACUUGCACCACCCACGCAACCAGUAGCAGCCCCGACAUCGUCUUUUGAUCCUCCUCGUCUUCCUUCUUCAUCGUUCCUUUCGCACGCAGACACUGAGAGAGAGAGAGAGAGAGAGAGAUGACGAGGGGAAAGCAGAAGAUCGAGGCGCAGAGGAAGAACGCGGAGCGGAACCAGAAGGGCAAGGGGUCCCAGCUCGAGGCCCGGGUCGUCGGCCUCAAGGUCACCUGCCCCAUUUGCAAGGUGCAACUAGCAAAUCAGAAUCAACUUGGGGAUCAUUAUACCUCCAAACAUCCAAAGGAAAAGCCACCUAGUGACUCGAGCUGACGGCACCUUUCAUUUGUAGAGAAUUCUGGAAACUGUGGAGAAAAACUUAAUCCGCAUGUAUAAGGCUCUAUGUGAAGCACAAUAAUUUGACUCGUGUAAUUCGGUGCUGCUUCAGCAAGUCUGUAUUGCAACUGCAUUUGAACUCUCACAUUGUCACUUCUUCCUGCUUGCUUCGAAAUCAGUAUUCGUGUCAUCUACAACGGUCAUUUCAUAUGUAAGACUUUUGAAGUGAUGAUCUCUGGAGAAACUGUAGGUAUAUUUAAUCUCUUAA